RNAcentral lists this ribosomal RNA (497 nucleotides) under uncultured bacterium. RNAcentral describes it as "partial 16S ribosomal RNA". It matches the Rfam family "Bacterial small subunit ribosomal RNA", at positions 28 to 507 of the family's 1533-position model. The record is from RNAcentral.
GAUGAACGCUGGCGGCGUGCCUAAUACAUGCAAGUCGAGCGAACGGACGAGAAGCUUGCUUUUCUGACGUUAGCGGCGGACAGGUGAGUAACACGUGGAUAACCUACCUAUAAGACUGGGAUAACUUCGGGAAACCGGAGCUAAUACCGGAUAAUAUUUUGAACCGCAUGGUUCAAUAGUGAAAGACGGUUUUGCUGUCACUUAUAGAUGGAUCCGCGCUGCAUUAGCUAGUUGGUAAGGUAACGGCUUACCAAGGCAACGAUGCAUAGCCGACCUGAGAGGGUGAUCGGCCACACUGGAACUGAGACACGGUCCAGACUCCUACGGGAGGCAGCAGUAGGGAAUCUUCCGCAAUGGGCGAAAGCCUGACGGAGCAACGCCGCGUGAGUGAUGAAGGUCUUCGGAUCGUAAAACUCUGUUAUUAGGGAAGAACAUAUGUGUAAGUAACUAUGCACAUCUUGACGGUACCUAAUCAGAAAGCCACGGCUAACUACGUG